GGCCAAUUAGCUCAAUCAGUUCAAGUGUGGUGCUGAUAACACCAAGGUCGUGGGUUCGAUCCCCGUUCGGUCC
This 73-nucleotide transfer RNA is filed under the name Apaloderma vittatum (bar-tailed trogon). It matches the Rfam family "tRNA". From Rfam's summary of the family: Transfer RNA (tRNA) molecules are approximately 80 nucleotides in length. Lineage: Eukaryota; Metazoa; Chordata; Aves; Trogoniformes; Trogonidae. The record is from Rfam by way of RNAcentral.